RNAcentral lists this ribosomal RNA (484 nucleotides) under uncultured bacterium. RNAcentral describes it as "partial 16S ribosomal RNA". It matches the Rfam family "Bacterial small subunit ribosomal RNA", at positions 30 to 507 of the family's 1533-position model. The record is from RNAcentral.
AUUGAACGCUGGCGGCAGGCCUAACACAUGCAAGUCGAGCGGAUGAAGGGAGCUUGCUCCUGGAUUCAGCGGCGGACGGGUGAGUAAUGCCUAGGAAUCUGCCUGGUAGUGGGGGAUAACGUCCGGAAACGGGCGCUAAUACCGCAUACGUCCUGAGGGAGAAAGUGGGGGAUCUUCGGACCUCACGCUAUCAGAUGAGCCUAGGUCGGAUUAGCUAGUUGGUGGGGUAAAGGCCUACCAAGGCGACGAUCCGUAACUGGUCUGAGAGGAUGAUCAGUCACACUGGAACUGAGACAUGGUCCAGACUCCUACGGGAGGCAGCAGUGGGGAAUAUUGGACAAUGGGCGAAAGCCUGAUCCAGCCAUGCCGCGUGUGUGAAGAAGGUCUUCGGAUUGUAAAGCACUUUAAGUUGGGAGGAAGGACAGUAAGUUAAUACCUUGCUGUUUUGACGUUACCAACAGAAUAAGCACCGGCUAACUUCGUG